Molecule: ribosomal RNA, 490 nt
Filed under: uncultured bacterium
Lineage: Bacteria
Description: partial 16S ribosomal RNA
Rfam family: Bacterial small subunit ribosomal RNA
Source: RNAcentral
AGUGAACGCUGGCGGUAGGCCUAACACAUGCAAGUCGAACGGCAGCACAGUAAGAGCUUGCUCUUACGGGUGGCGAGUGGCGGACGGGUGAGGAAUACAUCGGAAUCUACUUUUUCGUGGGGGAUAACGUAGGGAAACUUACGCUAAUACCGCAUACGACCUACGGGUGAAAGCAGGGGAUCUUCGGACCUUGCGCGAUUGAAUGAGCCGAUGUCGGAUUAGCUAGUUGGCGGGGUAAAGGCCCACCAAGGCGACGAUCCGUAGCUGGUCUGAGAGGAUGAGCAGCCACACUGGAACUGAGACACGGUCCAGACUCCUACGGGAGGCAGCAGUGGGGAAUAUUGGACAAUGGGCGCAAGCCUAAUCCAGCCAUACCGCGUGGGUGAAGAAGGCCUUCGGGUUGGAAAGCCCUUUUGUGGGGAAAGAAAAGCAGCAGGUUAAUACCCCGCUGUUCUGACGGUACCCAAAGAAUAAGCACCGGCUAACUUCG